GACGAACGCUGGCGGCGUGCUUAACACAUGCAAGUCGAACGGAAAGGCCCUGCUUUUGUGGGGUGCUCGAGUGGCGAACGGGUGAGUAACACGUGAGUAACCUGCCCUUGACUUUGGGAUAACUUCAGGAAACUGGGGCUAAUACCGGAUAGGAGCUCCUGCUGCAUGGUGGGGGUUGGAAAGUUUCGGCGGUUGGGGAUGGACUCGCGGUUUAUCAGCUUGUUGGUGGGGUAGUGGCUUACCAAGGCUUUGACGGGUAGCCGGCCUGAGAGGGUGACCGGCCACAUUGGGACCGAGAUACGGCCCAGACUCCUACGGGAGGCAGCAGUGGGGAAUAUUGCACAAUGGGCGGAAGCCUGAUGCAGCAACGCCGCGUGCGGGAUGACGGCCUUCGGGUUGUAAACCGCUUUCGCCUGUGACGAAGCGUGAGUGACGGUAAUGGGUAAAGAAGCACCGGCUAACUACGUG
RNAcentral lists this ribosomal RNA (468 nucleotides) under uncultured bacterium. Its description in RNAcentral is "partial 16S ribosomal RNA". It matches the Rfam family "Bacterial small subunit ribosomal RNA", at positions 28 to 507 of the family's 1533-position model. The record is from RNAcentral.